This 749-nucleotide ribosomal RNA is filed under the name uncultured bacterium. Its description in RNAcentral is "bacterial SSU rRNA". It matches the Rfam family "Bacterial small subunit ribosomal RNA", at positions 28 to 772 of the family's 1533-position model. The record is from RNAcentral.
AUUGAACGCUGGCGGCAGGCCUAACACAUGCAAGUCGAGCGGAUGACGGGAGCUUGCUCCUUGAUUCAGCGGCGGACGGGUGAGUAAUGCCUAGGAAUCUGCCUGGUAGUGGGGGGCAACGUUUCGAAAGGAACGCUAAUACCGCAUACGUCCUACGGGAGAAAGCAGGGGACCUUCGGGCCUUGCGCUAUCAGAUGAGCCUAGGUCGGAUUAGCUAGUUGGUGGGGUAAUGGCUCACCAAGGCGACGAUCCGUAACUGGUCUGAGAGGAUGAUCAGUCACACUGGAACUGAGACACGGUCCAGACUCCUACGGGAGGCAGCAGUGGGGAAUAUUGGACAAUGGGCGAAAGCCUGAUCCAGCCAUGCCGCGUGUGUGAAGAAGGUCUUCGGAUUGUAAAGCACUUUAAGUUGGGAGGAAGGGCAGUAAGCUAAUACCUUGCUGUUUUGACGUUACCGACAGAAUAAGCACCGGCUAACUCUGUGCCAGCAGCCGCGGUAAUACAGAGGGUGCAAGCGUUAAUCGGAAUUACUGGGCGUAAAGCGCGCGUAGGUGGUUUGUUAAGUUGGAUGUGAAGGCCCCGGGCUCAACCUGGGAACUGCAUCCAAAACUGGCAAGCUAGAGUACGGUAGAGGGUGGUGGAAUUUCCUGUGUAGCGGUGAAAUGCGUAGAUAUAGGAAGGAACACCAGUGGCGAAGGCGACCACCUGGACUGAUACUGACACUGAGGUGCGAAAGCGUGGGGAGCAAA